UUGUAUUAAAAUAGUGCAUCCUCGAUUGCCUUUAAAUACGUGUGUUAGUUGUAGCCACUAUCUUAACAUUACAUGUUAUACUGUUUCUUUGAUAAAAUUAAUAUGGCUCUCAUGACUGUGUGUGUAUAUUUUUGCUGUGUGCGAUGUGUGGAAAAACUUGCUUACCUAGCGUUGUUUUGAGUAUUAUUUUUGAGUAUGGUUCAUCUGCUGUGCGAAGGCGUUACCUACGCUGGAUGUGUUUAGCUGGUCACUACACGAACGGAAAUGCCACAGGGUUCAUGCUCAUGAAUAUGACAUUUUGAAGUUAAUUAACUUCAUUUCUUCCGCAUAUACUUGAUGAAACUUAAAGUAAAGUACUGUAGUCUCAUUA
Long non-coding RNA from Schistocerca gregaria, 370 nucleotides. RefSeq lists it as uncharacterized. The record is from RefSeq and is a predicted model, not a curated record. The transcript has 2 exons. Lineage: Eukaryota; Metazoa; Arthropoda; Insecta; Orthoptera; Acrididae.